This 1058-nucleotide ribosomal RNA is filed under the name Bacillus zanthoxyli. Its description in RNAcentral is "bacterial SSU rRNA". It matches the Rfam family "Bacterial small subunit ribosomal RNA", at positions 38 to 1076 of the family's 1533-position model. Lineage: Bacteria; Bacillati; Bacillota; Bacilli; Caryophanales; Bacillaceae. The record is from RNAcentral.
AGCAUCGCGUGCUAUACUGCAGUCGAGCGAACUGAUUAAAGCUUGCUUCUAUGACGUUAGCGGCGGACGGGUGAGUAACACGUGGGCAACCUGCCUGUAAGACUGGGAUAACUUCGGGAAACCGAAGCUAAUACCGGAUAGGAUCUUCUCCUUCAUGGGAGAUGAUUGAAAGAUGGUUUCGGCUAUCACUUACAGAUGGGCCCGCGGUGCAUUAGCUAGUUGGUGAGGUAACGGCUCACCAAGGCAACGAUGCAUAGCCGACCUGAGAGGGUGAUCGGCCACACUGGGACUGAGACACGGCCCAGACUCCUACGGGAGGCAGCAGUAGGGAAUCUUCCGCAAUGGACGAAAGUCUGACGGAGCAACGCCGCGUGAGUGAUGAAGGCUUUCGGGUCGUAAAACUCUGUUGUUAGGGAAGAACAAGUACGAGAGUAACUGCUCGUACCUUGACGGUACCUAACCAGAAAGCCACGGCUAACUACGUGCCAGCAGCCGCGGUAAUACGUAGGUGGCAAGCGUUAUCCGGAAUUAUUGGGCGUAAAGCGCGCGCAGGCGGUUUCUUAAGUCUGAUGUGAAAGCCCACGGCUCAACCGUGGAGGGUCAUUGGAAACUGGGGAACUUGAGUGCAGAAGAGAAAAGCGGAAUUCCACGUGUAGCGGUGAAAUGCGUAGAGAUGUGGAGGAACACCAGUGGCGAAGGCGGCUUUUUGGUCUGUAACUGACGCUGAGGCGCGAAAGCGUGGGGAGCAAACAGGAUUAGAUACCCUGGUAGUCCACGCCGUAAACGAUGAGUGCUAAGUGUUAGAGGGUUUCCGCCCUUUAGUGCUGCAGCUAACGCAUUAAGCACUCCGCCUGGGGAGUACGGUCGCAAGACUGAAACUCAAAGGAAUUAGACGGGGGGCCCGCACAAGCGGUGGAGCAUGUGGUUUUAAUUCGAAGCAACGCGAAGAAACUUACCACGUCCUUGACAUCCUCUGACACUCUAGAGAUAGAGCGUUCCCCUUCGCGACAGAGUGACAAGUGGUGGCAUGGUUGUCGUCGUCCUCCUGACGAUAAGAU